UGCUGGUGGUUCCUCAAGGCGG
This 22-nucleotide non-coding RNA is filed under the name Arabidopsis thaliana (thale cress). The record is from RNAcentral. Lineage: Eukaryota; Viridiplantae; Streptophyta; Magnoliopsida; Brassicales; Brassicaceae.